AACGUAAGUGGCAAGCGUUAUCCGGAUUUACUGGGUGUAAAGGGAGCGCAGGUGGACUGGCAAGUCGAAUGUGAAAUGCCGAGGCUCAACCUCGGAACUGCGUUCGAUACUGUUGGUCUUGAGUGGAGUAGGGGCAGACGGAAUUCCCGGUGUAGCGGUGGAAUGCGUAGAUAUCGGGAGGAAUACCGGUAGCGAAGGCGGUCUGCUGGGCUCUAACUGACACUGAGGCUCGAAAGCGUGGGGAG
This 245-nucleotide ribosomal RNA is filed under the name uncultured Eubacteriales bacterium. RNAcentral's name for it is "uncultured Clostridiales bacterium partial 16S ribosomal RNA". It matches the Rfam family "Bacterial small subunit ribosomal RNA", at positions 524 to 768 of the family's 1533-position model. The record is from RNAcentral. Lineage: Bacteria; Bacillati; Bacillota; Clostridia; Eubacteriales.